AUUGCUGCUCCAUUUGUGGGUGAACAAAACAGGUCAAUUUAUAAUGCUCAUCUGCACACAAACUCAGUGUGGGAAGAGUAUUGUCAUUAAGAUGUAUAAAUUGAAGCUGGGAAUUUGGCUGUAGCGCAUUGUGCUGGAUGAUAAGACAGGAGUGGGACAGAGCUGCAAAGGGAACACUGUGAUUCAUCAGGAUGAAAGAGUCGCAGUUGGUAUUAGUCACUAUGAUAUCUUUAGUUAUUGCUUGCGUGGCGGCUCAGUCGUCCAGGGAAGGUGAAUGGAAGUCAUUGGAAAACCCGUACAACAGAGAUCUGUUCUUCAAGUUCUUGAAAUCCUAUAUUACUGGGAGGGGAAGCCACCUGAUGAACCCUGGGACAAAGGAUAAAGCUGUGAAUGACUUGC
Xenopus laevis (African clawed frog) is the source of this 399-nucleotide long non-coding RNA. RefSeq lists it as uncharacterized. NCBI's taxonomy places the organism in Eukaryota, Metazoa, Chordata, Amphibia, Anura, Pipidae. The record is from RefSeq and is a predicted model, not a curated record. The transcript has 3 exons.